Salvia splendens (bonfire salvia) is the source of this 468-nucleotide long non-coding RNA. RefSeq lists it as uncharacterized. The record is from RefSeq and is a predicted model, not a curated record. The transcript is spliced from 2 exons. NCBI's taxonomy places the organism in Eukaryota, Viridiplantae, Streptophyta, Magnoliopsida, Lamiales, Lamiaceae.
GGCCUAAGAGCAUCCACUAUGGAUAGGCGCGGCGGUAGCCGCGAGGCGCGGCGGUGGGGCGGCGGAUUAUAGUGGAGAAGGUGUCCGGCCCGGGGGUGGACGCGGCGAGGGGGGGGAGACGCGGCGGACGCGCGAUAGCCGUGUGCGCGGCGAUGUCGCGGCGAGGGGUCUAUAGCCGCGCCUAUAGGCGCGGCGGCUAUAGUGGAGUGCACCGCCGCGGCGAAUUCGCCGGUCCCGAGAAAUCUCUCCUUUGAGCUUCUCUGCUGCUAAUUUACUGUAUAUGAAGGUGUUGGCAUGGCUGUGGAGCUAAAAGAAGACGAGAAGGAGGAGAAGGAGGUGAAGAAGAAGACGACGAGGAAGCCGACUCCGACACCGAGUAGGCGGUGGCGGAUUUUUUAGUUGUAUUUUAUUUUACAUAUUCGUUGUAAAAUUUUACCGGUUUGAAAUACAACGAAUAUUCGGCCCUAA